CUCCGCCCGACUUCCGGCGUCUCCUCCCGACCUCCGGCGGUGUCUGACUGCGCUUCUGGCCGUGCUCUCCUGGUCGUGCUUUCUCUGUCCCCGGCCUGCCCUGUUUUCUCGCUCACUGAAGCCGCAGCCCCAGAACUGAUCUCCAGUGAGAAGAUAAAUCCUCUUAGAAGACAACGUGUCAGUCUGCUUAGUUAAGACAGGGCUUCUGAGUUCUGAAGUCUUGCCCAUGUGUAGCUAGAACAGAGCCAAGACUAUGCACUAUCUCUGAAGGCUAAGGACACAAUUUCAUCCCAAGAGAGGGAAGAAUAUUAUUCCGAAGAGCCUAUUACUGUUUCUGUCUGUUCUUCGUUAAGUGUGGCAGGAUAAUAUUAACAGGUUGCCUCCUCCAGCCACUGUCCUCUUCUCUCGAUGUUUUUGUGCAUUACUCCACCCCAAAUGAGCAGCCAGGCAUUCUGUGCUUAUUGCUUUAAGGGAAGAUGUGACAGCAAAGAAAGCGUCCUUCCUGGCUUUGGUGUUGCAAAAGGCUUGGCUUUACAGGAACAAAAAAGACUCCUGGCAGAGCAAGAGAUUUGGAUAAAACAUGUUUUGUAAGAGCCUGGCUUUCUACUCGCAGAAAAAACUAAAACAAACCCAUCUCCUGUGCUGGGGACCAAGGAGGCUGUGAGUGGUACAGGCAAGAGAGAAGGAGGGGGGCAGUGGGGGCCGGUCUCCACUGUCCCCGAGAUAGGGAGUCUGAACGAAGCUCCCCAGUCCCAUCCUUGGGACACUGCAGACCUCCAUAUUUGGGUUUGUGAGAUCCAAGAGCAGGAGGAAGGUGUGCCCAGAGACCUGAGCACCGCCCAGGAAGGCAGUGGGCCCAGAGAGAGAAUAUGGACUCAUGGGACGCCUGGUGUGAGUAGGUAGGUGGCAACUAGAUGGACUCUCAAAGACCUUCUGUGCCCUAACGUGGAAUGCGAGCAAAACGGUAUCCCUGUAUAUCCAGGUGUGCCGUGGAAGAAGAAAGACACGUCCACACUUCAAGGGAGCUUGCAGGAGGGAACUCUGAGCCCAACAGAGGCUGGGGAAACUGAUGACUGCAUUAAGAUGCUGUGUUUCUCGCUGGAUGCCCAUGUAGACAGAUGGCAUUGGAAACCAGAGGCUCCCAGCCUAAACACUCGUCACCAAACUAGACAUUCUCAAAUUUAGAUCCAGCUGCGGGGUUGGUGGGAGAUACCAGGAAUUGGCAGAGAUUAUGGUAUCACCAACCGUUUGGAAGAGGCAAUUCAAAACUGAACUUACUUAAGGUGAGUUAUAGAAAAAUAAACUUGUGUUUGUACCUUCACAUGGGAAUAGGCUGGGAUAAGGACCCAGACCAGUUUGAAGUAACAUCCAACCCCACUGUCAAAGGUAAGAAAUGAGGAAGGACACCAGGGACUGGGGAGAAAGCUUCAGGACCUUAGAUGUUAAGAGUCAGCCUCUGACAGCAAAGUGGGAACUCGGGGAAGAGGUCCACAUGCAGCUCUCUAAGGAGACAACAUGACUCUGCUCCUAGAAGGAGCGCUGGUGUGGAUGAGGUGGCAAGGUGUUGGAGAAGGUCCUCAGUAAGGACCCCUGCUCUGAGCCGCUCAGAGAAACGGCUGCUUCCAGUGCAAGGUCAAUCGUUAAACAUUAGAGUGGAAAGGCAGCACGCAGGCUCUGCCUGCUAGAUGUGUGACUCUCUAAGGAUAAUUGUAGGUCUUCCAGGUGGGAACAUUGAACCAACGGAAGACAGCAGAUGCCACCAGGGGACAGCAGAGUCUCUGCCAUGAGCAGAAAUCAUCCCACAGACAGAAAUGGUGCCAUGCGCUCUGGGCCUGAGGACCCCCAUGUGACAAGAUCCAUCCUCCAGGAGCUGGUGGGGAUGCAACAAAAAAGGGUAUUGAAGACCGGUGCACAGUGACACCAGUAAGAAGGUUUGUGUCUACUCCUUUCCUGAGGAGUAAUAAGAUUCAUUCUAAGUGUUUUCCAUUGCAAAAUGUGUAUUUCUCUGAUAGACCAAAACCAAUGAUACACUAAUGUGAACCCAAAAAACCACUGUUGAAAUCCUUAGUAUUCCUUCUUUCUGAAGAAAAAUGUUCACAUUCAUCUACAAGGACUUCCUCAAAAUGGAUUUUAUAAUUAUCACAAACAGAAAUAAUACCAACACCUACUGCUCAUUGCUGUGUGCCAGCCUCUGUGCUGAGUGCUUUACAUAAUUAAUGUUAUUUAAUCCUCAACAUAACUCUGUGUCAUAGGUGAUCUUAACAUCCUAUUUUACUUACCAGGCAAAUAAGUGCUAGCGAGGUCACGAAAGUUGCCUGAUGUGGCCUGCUAAGCCAAUUCACUGUGUACUAGAAAGAUGGAACCUGACACUGUAUCUUUAAACCUAUAAGAUUUAAACACUGUGUAAGAAACUCCAAGAUAUUUAAAGGGCCCCGAGCUCCUUGUGACAUCAGCACUGGACUUGGUUUAUCCUUCUAUAACUUGGCUUUGACCUGGCAUCUUAAACAGUUUAGGCUUCUAUACCUUUUGUAAGUCAUUAUCUAUAGAAUGUGAACCGAGGCAAAUAAAACACUUUUCCAUAGAAAAAGAAAACAAUAAUAAAAUUUCCUCCUAAUCACUUCGCAGAGAGAUUAGAGAGUUGGUGCCAGUCUUCUAGCGUCUCCAUGAAUUUCCCUAAUUCGGGGCAGAGAUUGAAGGCAAAAGAAACUAAUAGACAUGCAAGUAACAAAUCCUGGUGACUGACUGAAGGGUUACCCUAAGUAGGAGCAUCUAUAUAGAGAAGGUCUGUUAGGACCUUUUGAUUGACAGAGACUUUUGUGAUAUGUUGAGGAUUUAGAAUUAUCUCUAAAGAGGCAACGUAGGAUUUUUAGCAGGGUUAACAUUAAAAGAUUUGCAUUUUUAAAGAUUACUCCGGUUCUAGCAUGGAGAACAAAAUCAAAGGAGCCCCAACAGAUGGAAGGAGGGCUGUGCACCACUUAGUAGUGGUGAGAGGUGACUAGCUUGUGCAACGAUGCUGAUAGUAAAGAUGGAUAAAAAUUGAUAGAUGAGAAAGCCAAAUGGGGAGGGAGGUGUGAAAUCAACAGUUCCAAGCAAUGGAUUGGAUAUGGGAUGUGACAGAAAAUGGAUAAAGGACAGACCACACCUGGAUAUGGGAAGGCUAUUUGCGAUUUAUGGUGGGAAACUGGAAGAAGAUAAUAUUUGAGUGGAAUAUCCUAAGUCUGGUCUUGGAUACGUUGAGUUUGAGGUACCCUUGAGACAUUCGAGUGGGGAUGUUGAAUAGUUAAUUGGAUAUAUCAUGGGGGGAGGUCUAAGAUCAAGAUGGAAAUUUAGGGGUCAUUAGUAUACGGGUGACAAUUUCAUGGGGACAGGUGUGAUUUCGGGGGGAACAGAGCAGAGGGUGAGUAGAGAAGAGGUCCCAGGGCAGAGCCUUGAGGAACCACAACAUUUAAAGGCCCAGGAGAGAAGGAUAUGUCUGAAAUGAAGGCAGAGAAGAAAAGUCGGAAACACAGCAAGGAAAGAAUGUGGUGUCUGGGAGCUCCCUGGCAGUCCAGUGGUUAGCACUCCGCACUGUCACUGCUAAGAGCCUGGGUUCAGUCCCUGGUCGGGGAACUAAGAUCCCACAAGCUGUGCAGCGCAGCCAAAAAAAACCAAUGCGGUAUCAUGGAAAGAAAGAAUGUUUCAAGGAGAAAGUGAAAAACAGGUUGACAGGUAAAUGUGGGAGGUCAAGUAAAAAGAGGACUGAAAACAUCCACUGAAUAUAGUGACCACGGAGGUCUCUGAUGACCUCGCUCUGGCAUUAAUAAUCAAUGGUAUUACAUCUCUAGUGGAAUAAUUCAUGGUAGUAACAUUUAUUCCCAAUAAUCUUAACAUUAGUUUUAAUGUCCUUAAACUUACUGAAAAUGAUAAGUACAGUAUAGAAUUCCUGUGAACAUUUAAAUGUCUUUGGAAAAAGAGGGUUUUUUUCCCACAGCAUGAUCCAGUUCCUUUGGCAGAAUGAUUUGUGGGAAUUAAAAGAACUAACAUUGCUGAAUAUCUGCUGUGUGCCUGAUGCUUUCACAUGCCUUGUAAGCAUCGUCUGCAUCCUAGCGUCCAUGUCAACCAUUGUAGAUCAACACUGAUGGCUGGUGGUGACAGUCUGAAGUUCAAAAAGGUGAGUUGUCACAUGGAAGGUUUUGAGUCCUCUUUCCUAUACCACAUCCCACCAAAGUUGUUGUGUCCAAAACUGAACUCUCAUCUGCAAGUCCCCACACUCAAAUUACGUUCUCCUCGUGUCAUACCUUCUCUAUUUUUUAACAAGUAUCAUGGGCUAGAAAUAUUUAAGCUCUCACUCUGCAGAAGCAGAAAGCGUCUGGCAGGCAGCCGGUCCUCAGAAAUGUUCAUUGUCACAAUCUGUCCGUUUCUCUUUAUAACAUUCUCAAAGCCACCUCCCUCCUGUUCAGGAGCUUUCACACUGAGAUGGAAUUGUCAUUGAUGGGUCUGCCAUCUCUAGGUUCCCCCCUAGUUUAUAAGAGGAGCAUUCAAUAACAUGAUGGAUGGCGUUCCUGAUGAUACCAAAACACAGACUCUACUACUCCCCAAGGCUUUUUCUUGUAUUGACCCUCAAAAACAAGUAUACAGGGGCUUCCCUGGUGGCACAGUGGUUGGGAGUCCGCCUGCCGAUGCAGGGGACACGGGUUCGCACGGGUUUGUGCCCCGGUCCGGGAAGAUCCCACAUGCUGCGGAGCGGCUGGGCCUGUGAGCCAUGGCUGCUGAGCCUGUGCGUCUGGAGCCUGUGCUCCGCAAUGGGAGAGGCCCACGUACCGCAAAAAAAAAAAAAAACAAGUAUACAAAGGAACAUAUUGUUAAGUCAUUUUUACAGGUGGCCAGAAUAGUACUGUCUAUUGAGGGGUAUAGAUUUCUAGAAUUCAAAUUCGAAGGAUGGCUAUGUUUAGCGAAACCAGGGCUUAGUGCUUAUCAUGUUCUUUUUGCAAUUCCUGCUGACGGUUAUGUGGUAUCAACUAGGCUUUUAACAGGCUCUGAAUUGUGGCUCCAUCAUUGAGAUGACAAGUGACAAUGUGAAAUGAAGGAUUUCUAUGCUGUUGAUAGGAGAGUCAUUCGAGUGCCCUGGAUAGCAGACCAGUGUGAAGCAGAGAAAUGAGCUUGUAUUUUUGCCCACAGAAAGGAAUAUCUCACCUUGCUAAGAAGAAAGGUUUCAGAGAGGGUUAUGGCUUUCCUCAAAUCGCAACAAUGGAUCUAUUUAAGUCCUGGAACUCUGCUGGUUGCCCCAGAAAUCUGUACUACAAAGCAUCAUCCAAAAAAAAAAAGUCAACCUUGACUGUAAAAGCGGUGAGGCUGGUGGUUGAAUCCUUUUUCACAGAGGAGGAAACCAGGUAGAAGAAGCUAAAGAAUACGUCCCAAGGCUAUGUUGUCAGAACUGGCAGGCCGUGAAACAUGCUGGCUAGGUCAGCAAGAGCAUUGCUCUUUCUCUAUCUCGAUGUUUGGGAACAUCUGCCAAUAAAACGGUUUUGUUUUUAUCAUUAGUGAUGAUAGUUUUAUCAUUGUUGCUUUUGAGAAAAAAUUAGCCAGCCGGUUCAGCUGCUUCUUGAGUAUUCCCUUAAAAGUGACCACUGGACCAUGCUGUUGGAAGGAGGCUGUGUGUUCAGGUCAUUAAAAAAUAACAAAUCUUGGACUUCCCUGGUGGCACAGUGGUUAAGAAUCCUCCUGCCAAUGCAGGGGACACGGGUUUGAGCCCUGGUCCAGGAAGAUCCCAUAUGCCACAGAGCGACUAAGCCCAUGUGCCACAACUACUGAGCCUGCGUUCUAGAGCCCACGAGCCACAACUACUGAGCCCGUGAGCCACAAUUACUGAGCCCACGUUCCACAACUACUGAAGCCCACGCACCUAGGGCCCGUGCUCCGCAACAAGAGAAGCCACCACAAUGAGAAGCCCGCGCACUGCAACAGAGAGUAGCCCCUGCUUACCGCAACUAGAGAAAGCCCACACACAUCAAUGAAGAUCCGAUGCAGCCAAAAAUAAAUAAAUAAAAUUUAAAUAAGAAAAUAAAUCUUUUAAGCUUCAAAUGGAGAAUUUAGAUCAUAAUUAUUUAGUACACGGUUGAAUUGGAAUGGGAUCUAGGAAAACAGAAUUUCUCUGUACUCAGAUUCUUGAGACAUGCUGGAUGAGGACUCUGUUCAUUUCAGUUUACUUUUAUAUCUAGGAAAAUACUCAGAUACGAUAAAGUGAUAAUACUUGCUGAAGUAUUUCCAUUAGUAGUAUAACAUCUACUGAGAAAAACUGUCUUUAUUCAGCUGACAUAACUGAGUACCUGAUACCUGCCAGGCCUGACAUAUAGUUAUAAGGAGAAAUAGACUUGCUGUUUUUAAGGAGUUCACUGUUUUACAAAAGAGACAGAUCAUUAUAAUAUAUGUAUAAUUUGUGUAUAAUAAUGCGUAUACAUAAUAACAUGUAUAAUACUCAAGACGUGGGAAAAGAAUGGGAGAUUCAACUUUGGAGAUCUCUAACAAUUUUAUAGGGGAGACACCAUUUGAUCUAAGUCUUCGUAAAUUCCAGAAAAUACUUCACCAGCAGACACCUGUUAAUAUUAUACAUAUAGCAUGGUCUAAAAACUGUUUAAGAAAUUAAAAAUUAAAAACCAGCGAAAGAAAAGCUGUUAUUCCCAAAGUAUGGGGGAGAACAAGAUGGAAUGUUAAUAGUAGAACAUCUGAUAAGAAUGAGACCUAGAUUCUCAGUAUAUUGAGGAAAAAGGUAGUGUGCAUCCUGAUGGUGUAAGUACAUGAAAGUCAAAUAGAAAAAGAACUCCCCAUGUAUUCACAGUUCAUCCAGAUUUGCUCCAAACUCAGAACUGUAAGCAAAACUCGACUAUAAAUAAAUAAAUAAUUCUAGAGUAUGUUCAGUGUUUUCAUUCCUUAUUCAAAAUCUAAGAAUGUUUGAGAGACGCUUAAAUGACACAUAUUAUCUACCCAAAACUUUCAAUUGCUCAAAGACAAACUCAUGAGACAUUUUCAUUUGUAUAUGGAAAACGUUUCCUUCUAGUCAUGUUGUUUGCCUAAGUAGAAUUUUUUUUAUAAUUAAUUUUUAUUUGAGUAUAGUUGAUUUACAGUGUUGUGUUAGUUUCAGGUGUACCCCACAGUGAAUCAGUUUUACGUAUACAUAGAUCACUCUUUUCUAGAUUCUUUUCCCAUAGAGGUCAUUACAAAGGAUUGAGUAGAGUUUCCUGUGCUCUACAGCAGGUCCCUAUUAGUUCCCUAUUUUAUGUAUACAGUGUGUCCAUAACAAUGGACACAAUCUCCCAGUUUAUCCCUCCCCACCCUUAUUCCAUAACCAUAAGCUUGUUUUCUGCAUCUGUGGCUCUGUUUCUAUUUUGUAAAUAAAUUCGUUUGUAUCA
Long non-coding RNA from Orcinus orca (killer whale), 7385 nucleotides. RefSeq lists it as uncharacterized. Lineage: Eukaryota; Metazoa; Chordata; Mammalia; Artiodactyla; Delphinidae. The record is from RefSeq and is a predicted model, not a curated record. The transcript is spliced from 2 exons.